GUGUCACUGUGGUGUUGGCAUUUUUCUGUUGGUUCAGGCUGGGGACACACUGUCCAACGUAGGUGACAGAUAUUGGCACGUUAUUGUAAAUCCAGCACAGGUAGUUUGUGGUAUUUAAUGUUUGUACCAUCCCCCUGAGGGCAGAGCCCCACACGCUGCCCUGCAGGACAGAGCUGCGGCAGGGCAGCAGAACAUGGUAGAGAUAAACAGAAUAAACAACCUUGAAACAGCACAGACCAAUUAUGGCUUCUGCUUUGGCAACGGGGCAGAAAGACAGAGACUUUCUACAACCUCAGAAUCACCAAUACCCUCAGAUUCCGACAUGUGUCCACCUGCACAAGGCUCUGAGACACUGCUCCCAUCACCAAUAUCCAACUGGAACCUCUCUCUCUGCAGCUCUGUGGUGUCAGUGCUGCAGGACAGCACACAGAUGAUAAGCUCCUGCUUUCUGAGUGUCUUUUGUCUUCCUCCAGAAGAGGAAAUGAUGAGCCUGGAGGCUUGCAUCUAUACUCAGACCCUGGAUGCCACAGACAUCAUGCUGAAGGCUGUGGUGCUCUACUCUUCUGGCGAGGUGCUGCAGGACAUCUUGGAGGUGCUGCUCACCUUCACCAACUCUGAGAGAGUUGUUGUGCAGGAGAGAGCCUUGGAGAGGAUUUGCAUCCUGAGCCAUUGGCUGGCUGGCUGUUCUGCUCCUGAGGUGAGGACCAGGCACCCUCCAGCCAUCUCCCUGUGCCCGUGGCCAGUACAGUUGCAGCUCCAAGGUGCCUUCAAUGCCAGCUGAAAGGUCUUGGUCCCUCCAUUCCCCCUGGGCUUCCCAGCCAGGAGCCAGCUUUGCCCCAGCCCUGUGUUGGACAGGGCUGCCCAAGGAGCAUGGAGGGAGCUCUCCCUGCUGGGGCCUCCCUGAGAGAUGGGGCCUGCAGGGCCCUACCAAGCUCUGACCCACCUCUAGCCCUGGAGGCACUGUGUGGGUCAGAGUUUUGGCUUCAGCUGCCACCUUCAGCCAUUCUGCUCUGCCUGCCUCCCUCAGGCUGGUCAAAAUGAGGAAAGAGGUGAUGCCUGUGGACACAUCCAGAUCCCAGUCCUUGGGAAGGUGUUUGGACGUCUCAUCCUCAUGUCAUUUGAGGAAGAAAAGACCAACUGUGUGGCUCUGAGUGCCCUCUAUGCCCUCCUCAAUUUUAUCUGUCAGCAGAAAGAUGGUGGGCUGCAUCCCUCUGAACAGUGACACCCCCUGCUAGAUCUGCUGGCCUUCCCUGGCAUUUUGAUGGACCUUUGUGCCUGGUGCAGAUGCCACCAUGUCCCCAUCACUGUUAUCACCUCUGUUCCUUCCCCACACUCUCUGUCCCAGGUUUUUGAUGGUCCUGUGCAGCUGAGCUGCUCCUCCACACCGGCCUCAGCCCCAUGUCCCCUGGAGAUCUCCUGUCCCUGCUGGUUUUUGUCUAUUUUUUCUUCUGUUGAGAUUGGGAUUGAAGGUACUGGAGACGAUAGUUCAUAUUUAGUCUCAUUUAAGACUCGUGUUCAACUUUCAGUGUUGCAGUCUCACGGGCAGUGAGUUCUGUAAUCUUUCAUUAUUAACAAGGCACAAAAUGGCUCUCUUGUUACAAGGUCUUUUAAGGCUAAACUAUCUAAUUAAGAAAUGACACCUAAAUUAUUGUCACUUUUAACCUAAUAACUAAUCACUUGGAGUCUGCAGUGCAGACUUUUCUGUCUAAUUACAAAAUACUACUCAAACUUAUGAAGAAGAAGGAAGAAGAAGGUAAAGAAGAACAACUAUUCACUGCCCUAAAACUUCUAUCUUGCCCUAUAUAUAUUUCUAUAUUCUAAAACCUUAAACUCUUACGUUUUCUAGCCUGUGAUAUUACACAUUUCUAAUUAACUACACACCUGUAAUCCCAGCGCUAUCAAUAAAUUUUGGAAGUCUUUUUCAUGGCCUCAGGUCAAAUGUAGUGCUCUCCUGGGGAUCAGAGUUUGUCAGCACAGAAAGUCUGAAAUUCUCAGCAUGCAGAGCUCCAGCAAGGAUGUGCUGGCACCACUGCUGCAUCCCACUAACGUGUCCAAGUGUCCCCACUCUGGUGUGACACUGCCAGAGGGUAAUGCACAGCUCUAAGCAUGGUUGGAAGCUGGGAUCACCUCCUCACUUUGUUCUCCCAGUGCCAAGGGCUUCACUGAGGUAUUGAGAGCUCCCCUUGCUGGGACUCUUGUCCACAGCAUUCAUGUGAGCAAAAAGGCCCAGAAUCAGCAGGGCUCCUGUCCUUUCUGCCACAGGCCACUGGAAAAUACCUCAGACCUUCUGAGAGGACACGCAUCAUCCUCUCAACCAUUACGAUGUCCCACUACUCAUCUACCUACAAUCAGCAGGUGGCUCUCAGCAUGCUGGAGGUGACUGGGAGAGACCCUGAUGGAUGUAAGUGGCCUGUGUCUGGGUUGCCCUGCCGUGUUGGCUUCCUGCCUCCCUCCAUCCCUCCCAAAUCCAGAUGUCUCAGGCACCAGAAGCCAUCCUGAAGCAGCAGAGAGGGAUGGGAAGGGCAGCACCACCCUCACCUGUGUCCCUCCAGGUGCCAAACGUUGUGAGCCACAUCUGCCACACUGGGCUGGUUGUGGACACCCAAGUCCAGCACAGCCUCCACUCCCUGCUCCUCUUGAUGGCUGACAAGAGUCCUGGGCAGGUGGCCACAACCUGCUGCAGAUUGCUCCACGAGGAGACAGGUACUGGCUCCAACAGCCCCUGAGAUCCUGAAACCCAGGGAACGCUGCAGAACCCCACUGAGGAGCAAGGUCCUCCAUCCCACCACGCUUUCCAGCCCUGGUGGGGGUCAUCCAGACCUGCAACAGCCCAGCCACGCUGCUCCUGGACCAUCUCCUGCCUGCCUGGGCAAGAACUCCCAGGGGGAAUUUUCUCUUUAGUUCCAGUCAGUGUGGAGUGCAGACUCUCCCCUGCCAGCCACAAGGGUUGGGGAGAGCAAACCCUGCAGCUCGAGAGAAGCAGGAAAAGACCAGAACUGAGUCAGCCCCCACAGAACAGAAGGGUGGAGAAAAUCUAAGAUGUCUGUAUUCCCCCUCCAGAGAGAGAGAGAGAAAAAAAACCCAAAAAAACAGAGACUGUGCUGCACUACGCCAGCAGAAGGAAAACAGAAGGUGGGGGAAGGUGCCCAGCUGUGGGAGUUAGAGUUCUGGCUAGAAAUUUCAGCUGUCCUUGGGAGUCUGAGACUUUUAACCCCUUCUUAAAUAAUAAAAGCUUUGUAAAAUACUACUCCUCCUUAAUCAGAGAGAGAAGAGAGAUGGCCUGAGACUAAGAAGAAGAUGGGGAAAAGGAUCCUAGGUGAGAGGAGGUGAUAGAAUAGCUUUUAGCUGAACUUUUCUUAUAUAGCCAUAGACUAAACCAAUUUCUCCUGCAACAGAGACUGCAUUUUUAGGAAGAUGCAAUAGUUAGAGCCAAGAAAGUGACCUACUGCAGUGAUGAGGAGGAUGUAGUAGUGCCCUGUCUUCAAGAAAAAGAAUAUUUGUUCUUGAGACCCUCAGCCCCAGUGGAGGAGAAAAUGGAGAGAAAUGUUCUCCUAAAAAUGAGAAACUAAACUGUUGUUCUUUUAAUCCUUAACAAGCAUCCUUAAAAGAACCCUUUGAGCAGUUUUGGUGCAUGCAGGGUGGUGAGAGCACUGUGACAUAGAAAAGAAGGUGUCACGCUAACAAAUUUUCUCUGGGCAGUGCCAGGUGUGACAUGGGAAUCCAAGAAGUAGCAAUUGUGUUUCCUGGGAGUCUAUAGUGCAAGAGAAACUCCUCUCUCCCUUGAUAAACUAAGUAUUGAUUAUCUGAAGAGUAGUAACUUGAUUGAAGAUCCAAGUUGUGUCUCACUGUAGUUUGUUAGAGUUUAAGUGGGGGAGGAGGAUUGUUUUAGAAAGUUUUCAUCCUAAAUUCUGUGUGUCUUUUAUUAUAGUAGUUAUAACUUAAUAAGUAGUUAUAAUAAGUUAAUAAGUAGUUAUAGUUAUAAGUUAACCAAGUUUUUCCUUUGUUUUUAAACUCGAACCUACUCUACUCUGUUCCUAAUCACAUCUCACAGCAUUUAUUUAAAAAGAAGUACAUUUUCCUGCAGUGCCAGCGUCAAACCGUAACACUCUGCCAGGGGCAAAGGCUGGGAAAUAACAGUUCUUUACUAGGAGAAAAACGAAAUAAUAAUAAUAAUAGUAAUAAUAAUAAUAAUAAACUGUAAGUAGUACAAACAAAACUAGUGAUGGAGUCAGAAACCUGACACCCUGAGGAGUCAGGGUGUUGGUAGUAGUCCAGUUAAAUGGUGGCUGCUCCUCCUGGAGUGGCAGAUGAAAUGCUGCUGAAGUGGUGAUCUCUAGAAGGGCGGAGUUUUCUCUGAAGGUCUGGUGAUGGAGUAGUUGGGCCUGGUCUUCCUCUGGGAAUUCAGCAGAGAAGAAGCUGCUCCUCUGGGAAUCCAGCGAAGUGGCUGCCAGUGUCCCAAAAAAUGCUGAUUUUAUGCAGGUAGGAAUGCUUGGCUCCUCCCUCUGGGUGGAGCAUCUCACAAUGGGACGAUGUAACUUUAGUGGUCAUGUAGUGAAUUAUUUAAUAAUUUAUUAACAGAAGAUAUCUCCCUGGAGGGAGACAUUGUUCUUGGAGGAGAUAAGAGAACUGCCCAACCUCCAACAGAUGGCAAUAGAAUCCAUGCUUAUCUUACAAGCCAGGACAGCGGGAGUCAGGACAUGGGGUCACUGCUCUGCACACCCUCCCUGGCUGGCAGGACCUUUGCCAGGCACAAAAUGGAAACUGUCUUUCAUGCAGGUGAGAAAAAUGAAGCUCCUCCUGCCAGACCUGGUGAACCUGUUGAGGCACAGCUGCAGGUCCCUGGUGAUGAAGGCCUUGAUGGUCCUCUGGAAUGUGAUGAGGCGCAGGAAGAGGACUGAGGGUAGUUCCAUUGCUGUGGAUGUGGAUAAGGCACUGCAGCCCUACUUCAAUGAAGGGAGGCCAGCGUGGAGCCCGAGCCUUGAGAGGGGCACAGGGCUAUGACAGCAGCACUCGGAGCAGGCUCAGCUCCCUGGGCUCUCCUGGGAUGGAUUCUGCUUCUCCCUGUGAGGAACUGCAUUGACUUGUUUGUUCAUCAAAAGUAUGAAAUUAGGAUAAAAGGGGGGGAAGUCAGGACAUGGAAUUUGCAGGCUUGAGUGGUAACCACAAACAAAGAUUGUGAAAGAUUUUGCAGGACUGGCUGGAACUGAUAACCGCAGUGGAAACCCAUUGUUGCUGAAACUGAUAACCGCAGUGGAAGGAGACUCACCAUCCCCAUUUGUGAAACCCAUUGUUGCUGGAACUGAUAACCACGGUGGAAGGAGACCCAUCACCCCCACUUAUGCAGGAUAAAAAGGGACUGAAGAGAAGGAAAGGUUGUCAGCUUUUGGCGGAACACAGGCUCCGCAGCUGCACCCAGCGCUGUUUGCUUGCUAUCGCUUGCUGUAAUUAAUAAAAUUAUUAAUUGAUCUUAAAAGGCUGAAUCAAAUUAUUCGCCUCAAUUUAUAACAUCCCCACUCUGGAAUCUGGCCGCCGAGCAUCGCCCC
Long non-coding RNA from Taeniopygia guttata (zebra finch), 5543 nucleotides. Lineage: Eukaryota; Metazoa; Chordata; Aves; Passeriformes; Estrildidae. The record is from Ensembl.